GGCCCGGUGGCGGAUGGUCCGCACCACUCUAUGGUACGCAAUUCUCGAGUCGACCAGUGAGACGCUCGUUCGAUUCGAGCCUGGGCCG
Molecule: non-coding RNA, 88 nt
Organism: Mycena rosella
Lineage: Eukaryota; Fungi; Basidiomycota; Agaricomycetes; Agaricales; Mycenaceae
Source: the annotation of a GenBank genome assembly